RNAcentral lists this ribosomal RNA (2154 nucleotides) under Salmonella enterica. Its description in RNAcentral is "bacterial LSU rRNA". It matches the Rfam family "Bacterial large subunit ribosomal RNA", at positions 690 to 2824 of the family's 2925-position model. The record is from RNAcentral. Lineage: Bacteria; Pseudomonadati; Pseudomonadota; Gammaproteobacteria; Enterobacterales; Enterobacteriaceae.
GGGCGUUAAGUUGCAGGGUAUAGACCCGAAACCCGGUGAUCUAGCCAUGGGCAGGUUGAAGGUUGGGUAACACUAACUGGAGGACCGAACCGACUAAUGUUGAAAAAUUAGCGGAUGACCUGUGGCUGGGGGUGAAAGGCCAAUCAAACCGGGAGAUAGCUGGUUCUCCCCGAAAGCUAUUUAGGUAGCGCCUCGUGAAUUCAUCUCCGGGGGUAGAGCACUGUUUCGGCUAGGGGGUCAUCCCGACUUACCAACCCGAUGCAAACUGCGAAUACCGGAGAAUGUUAUCACGGGAGACACACGGCGGGUGCUAACGUCCGUCGUGAAGAGGGAAACAACCCAGACCGCCAGCUAAGGUCCCAAAGUCAUGGUUAAGUGGGAAACGAUGUGGGAAGGCCCAGACAGCCAGGAUGUUGGCUUAGAAGCAGCCAUCAUUUAAAGAAAGCGUAAUAGCUCACUGGUCGAGUCGGCCUGCGCGGAAGAUGUAACGGGGCUAAACCAUGCACCGAAGCUGCGGCAGCGACACUCAGGUGUUGUUGGGUAGGGGAGCGUUCUGUAAGCCUGCGAAGGUGGCCUGUGAGGGUUGCUGGAGGUAUCAGAAGUGCGAAUGCUGACAUAAGUAACGAUAAAGCGGGUGAAAAGCCCGCUCGCCGGAAGACCAAGGGUUCCUGUCCAACGUUAAUCGGGGCAGGGUGAGUCGACCCCUAAGGCGAGGCCGAAAGGCGUAGUCGAUGGGAAACGGGUUAAUAUUCCCGUACUUGGUGUUACUGCGAAGGGGGGACGGAGAAGGCUAUGUUGGCCGGGCGACGGUUGUCCCGGUUUAAGCGUGUAGGUGUGUGUUCCAGGUAAAUCCGGUUCACUUUAACACUGAGGCGUGACGACGAGGCACUACGGUGCUGAAGCAACAAAUGCCCUGCUUCCAGGAAAAGCCUCUAAGCAUCAGGUAACAUCAAAUCGUACCCCAAACCGACACAGGUGGUCAGGUAGAGAAUACCAAGGCGCUUGAGAGAACUCGGGUGAAGGAACUAGGCAAAAUGGUGCCGUAACUUCGGGAGAAGGCACGCUGACACGUAGGUGAAGUGAUUUACUCACGGAGCUGAAGUCAGUCGAAGAUACCAGCUGGCUGCAACUGUUUAUUAAAAACACAGCACUGUGCAAACACGAAAGUGGACGUAUACGGUGUGACGCCUGCCCGGUGCCGGAAGGUUAAUUGAUGGGGUCAGCGCAAGCGAAGCUCCUGAUCGAAGCCCCGGUAAACGGCGGCCGUAACUAUAACGGUCCUAAGGUAGCGAAAUUCCUUGUCGGGUAAGUUCCGACCUGCACGAAUGGCGUAAUGAUGGCCAGGCUGUCUCCACCCGAGACUCAGUGAAAUUGAACUCGCUGUGAAGAUGCAGUGUACCCGCGGCAAGACGGAAAGACCCCGUGAACCUUUACUAUAGCUUGACACUGAACAUUGAGCCUUGAUGUGUAGGAUAGGUGGGAGGCUUUGAAGCGUGGACGCCAGUCUGCGUGGAGCCGACCUUGAAAUACCACCCUUUAAUGUUUGAUGUUCUAACGUGGACCCGUGAUCCGGGUUGCGGACAGUGUCUGGUGGGUAGUUUGACUGGGGCGGUCUCCUCCUAAAGAGUAACGGAGGAGCACGAAGGUUGGCUAAUCCUGGUCGGACAUCAGGAGGUUAGUGCAAUGGCAUAAGCCAGCUUGACUGCGAGCGUGACGGCGCGAGCAGGUGCGAAAGCAGGUCAUAGUGAUCCGGUGGUUCUGAAUGGAAGGGCCAUCGCUCAACGGAUAAAAGGUACUCCGGGGAUAACAGGCUGAUACCGCCCAAGAGUUCAUAUCGACGGCGGUGUUUGGCACCUCGAUGUCGGCUCAUCACAUCCUGGGGCUGAAGUAGGUCCCAAGGGUAUGGCUGUUCGCCAUUUAAAGUGGUACGCGAGCUGGGUUUAGAACGUCGUGAGACAGUUCGGUCCCUAUCUGCCGUGGGCGCUGGAGAACUGAGGGGGGCUGCUCCUAGUACGAGAGGACCGGAGUGGACGCAUCACUGGUGUUCGGGUUGUCAUGCCAAUGGCACUGCCCGGUAGCUAAAUGCGGAAGAGAUAAGUGCUGAAAGCAUCUAAGCACGAAACUUGCCCCGAGAUGAGUUCUCCCUGAGACUUA